This 205-nucleotide long non-coding RNA is filed under the name Pelobates cultripes (western spadefoot toad). Lineage: Eukaryota; Metazoa; Chordata; Amphibia; Anura; Pelobatidae. The record is from RNAcentral.
GUAUAACCGAGCUCCACAGCAAUAAUACUCCCAGUAAUGUGUCGGAGUGUAUAACAGAGUGCCACAGUAAUAAUACUCCCAGUAAUGUGUCUGAGUGUAUAACAGAGCUCCACAGUAAUAAUACUCCCAGUAAUGUGUCUGAGUGUAUAACAGAGCUCCACAGCAAUAAUACUCCCAGUAAUGUGUCUCAGUGUAUUACAAAGCU